Molecule: ribosomal RNA, 433 nt
Filed under: uncultured bacterium
Lineage: Bacteria
Description: partial 16S ribosomal RNA
Rfam family: Bacterial small subunit ribosomal RNA
Source: RNAcentral
AAUGAACGCUGGCGGCAUGCCCAACACAUGCAAGUCGAACGAAGGCUUCGGCCUUAGUGGCGCACGGGUGCGUAACGCGUGGGAAUCUGCCCUUGGGUUCGGAAUAACAGUUAGAAAUGACUGCUAAUACCGGAUGAUGUCGUAAGACCAAAGAUUUAUCGCCCAAGGAUGAGCCCGCGUAGGAUUAGCUAGUUGGUGGGGUAAAGGCCUACCAAGGCGACGAUCCUUAGCUGGUCUGAGAGGAUGAUCAGCCACACUGGGACUGAGACACGGCCCAGACUCCUACGGGAGGCAGCAGUGGGGAAUAUUGGACAAUGGGCGAAAGCCUGAUCCAGCAAUGCCGCGUGAGUGAUGAAGGCCUUAGGGUUGUAAAGCUCUUUUACCCGGGAUGAUAAUGACAGUACCGGGAGAAUAAGCUCCGGCUAACUUCGUG